Molecule: long non-coding RNA, 217 nt
Filed under: Coffea arabica (coffee)
Lineage: Eukaryota; Viridiplantae; Streptophyta; Magnoliopsida; Gentianales; Rubiaceae
Description: long non-coding RNA (CARA_LNC004271)
Source: RNAcentral
UCCUCCUCCAUCUCCAUCUCUUUGCUCCUCCCAUGUUCCUUCUCCCUCUCUUUCCUCCUCUCCUCGCUUCCCCUUUCCCCCCUUCUCCCGCCAUGCCUCACCACUCCUCUUCCCCUCUCUGGUCACGAUAUUGCGGCCCCGUGGCCAGAUCACAGUCUUUGGUCGAGGCCAAAUUUAGGGGAGAAGGGAAGAGGGAGGGAGAGGAAAGAAGAGAAAG